UCCUACGGGGGGCAGCAGUGAGGAAUAUUGGUCAAUGGGCUUACGCCUGAACCAGCCAAGUCGCGUGAGGGAAGACUGCCCUAUGGGUUGUAAACCUCUUUUGUCAGGGAGCAACGCCGGCUACGUGUAGCCGGACUGAGAGUACCUGAAGAAAAAGCAUCGGCUAACUCCGUGCCAGCGGCCGCGGUAAUACGGAGGAUGCGAGCGUUAUUCGGAUUUAUUGGGUUUAAAGGGUGCGUAGGCGGACUGGAAAGUCAGCGGUAAAAUCGAGAGGCUCAACCUCUUUCCGCCGUUGAAACUGUCGG
RNAcentral lists this ribosomal RNA (305 nucleotides) under uncultured bacterium. Its description in RNAcentral is "bacterial SSU rRNA". It matches the Rfam family "Bacterial small subunit ribosomal RNA", at positions 337 to 639 of the family's 1533-position model. The record is from RNAcentral.